RNAcentral lists this ribosomal RNA (486 nucleotides) under uncultured bacterium. RNAcentral's name for it is "bacterial SSU rRNA". It matches the Rfam family "Bacterial small subunit ribosomal RNA", at positions 28 to 511 of the family's 1533-position model. The record is from RNAcentral.
GAUGAACGCUAGCGGCAGGCUUAAUACAUGCAAGUCGUGGGGCAGCAUGAGUAGCAAUACUUGAUGGCGACCGGCAAACGGGUGAGGAACACGUACACAACCUUCCUUCAAGCGGGGAAUAGCCCAGAGAAAUUUGGAUUAAUACCCCAUAAUAUAUUUGAUAAGGCAUCUUAUUAAUAUUAAAGCUUCGGCACUUGAUGAUGGGUGUGCGGCUGAUUAGAUAGUUGGCGGGGUAACGGCCCACCAAGUCUACGAUCAGUAGCUGAUGUGAGAGCAUGAUCAGCCACACGGGCACUGAGACACGGGCCCGACUCCUACGGGAGGCAGCAGUAAGGAAUAUUGGACAAUGGACGAAGUCUGAUCCAGCCAUGCCGCGUGAAGGAUUAAGGUCCUCUGGAUUGUAAACUUCUUUAUAUGGGACGAAAAAGGGCAUUCUUGUUCACUUGACGGUACCAUAUGAAUAAGCACCGGCUAACUCCGUGCCAG